This 30-nucleotide small nuclear RNA is filed under the name Cervus elaphus hippelaphus. Lineage: Eukaryota; Metazoa; Chordata; Mammalia; Artiodactyla; Cervidae. The record is from RNAcentral.
GUGCUCGCUUCGGCAGCACAUAUAUUAAAA